RNAcentral lists this long non-coding RNA (1326 nucleotides) under Coturnix japonica (Japanese quail). RNAcentral describes it as "lncRNA (ENSCJPG00005003203.1)". The record is from RNAcentral. Lineage: Eukaryota; Metazoa; Chordata; Aves; Galliformes; Phasianidae.
AUGUACAGAAAUAUACAUCUUUCUUUCUUUCUUUCUUUCUUUCUUUCUUUCUUUCUUUCUUUCUUUCUUUCUUUCUUUCUUUCUUUCUUUCUUUCUUUCUUUCUUCCUUUCUUUCUUUCUUUCUUUCUUUCUUUCUCUUCCUCUUCUUUCUUUCUCUCUUUCUUUCUCUCUUUCUCUCUUUCUCUCUUUCUCUUUCUUUCUUCCUCUCUUUCUCUCUUUCUGUCUUUCUCUCUCUUUCUCUUUCUUUCUUCCUCUCUUUCUCUCUUCUUCUCUCUUUCUCUCUCUUUCUCUCUUUUUCUUUUUCUCUCUCUUCUUUCUUCUUUCUUUCCUUUCUUUCUUCUUUCUUUCUUUUCUUUCUUUCUUUCUUUCUUCUUUCUUUCUUUCUUUCUUUCUCUCUUUCUUUCUUUCUUUCUCUCUUCUUUUUUUCUUUCUCUCUUUCUUUCUCUUCUUUCUCUCUUUCUUUCCUUCUCUCUCUCUUUCUCUCUUUCUUCUCGUCUCCUUUCUUUCUUUCUUUCCAUCUUUUUUCUUUCUUUCUUCUUUCUUUCUUUUUCUUUCUUUCUUUCUUUCUCUCUCCUUUUUCUUUUCUUUCUUUCUUCUUUCUUUUUUCUUUCUUCUUUCUUUCUUUCUUCUUUCUUUCUUUUCUCUUCUUUCUUUCUCUUCUUUUCUUUCUUUCUUUCUCUCGUUUCUUUCUUUCUUUUCUUUCUUUCUUUCUCUCUUUCUUUCUUCUCUCUCUCUCUCUUUCUCUCUUUCCUUCUUUUCUUCCUCUCUUUCUCUCUUUCUUGUCUUCUGCUUUCUCUAUUUCUUUCUUCCUCUCUUUCUUCUCUUUCGCUUUCCCUCUCUUACUCCCUCAUUCUUUCUCUCUUUCUUUCAUUUUCUUUCUUCUUUUCUUUCUUUCUUCUUUCUUUUCUUUCUUUCUUUCUUUCUUUCUUUCUUUCUUUCUCUCUUUCUUUCUUCUCUCUCUUCUUCUUUCUUUCCCUCUUUCUUUUCUUUCUCUCUCUUCUUUUCUUUUCUUCUCUUUCUUCUUUCUUUCUUUCCUUUCUUUCUUUCUUUCUCUACUUCUUUCUCCUUUCUUUCUUUUCUUUCUUCUUUCCUUUUCUUUCUUUCUUUCUUUUCUUUCUUCUUUUUUUUUCCUCCCUCCUCUCUCUCUCUCUCUCUCUCUCUUUCUUUCUUCUUUCUUUCUUUCUUUCUUUCUUUCUUUCUCUCUUUCUCUCUUUCUUUCUCUCUUUUUCUCUCUUUCUUUUCUCUCUUUCUCUCUUUCUCACCUUUCUUUUCUUCUUCCUCUUCUUUCGCUCUCUUUCUGUCUUUCUCUCUCUUUCUCUUUUCUUC